AAACUAACAAGAAUUCCCCCUAUUAUCUGCGAGUGAAGCGGGAAGAGCUCAAAUUUAAAAUCUGUCCUUCUUUGCCCGUCCGAGUUGUAUUCUGGAGAAGUGUUUUCCGCGCUGGACCGUGUACAAGUCUCUUGGAACAGAGCGUCAUAGAGGGUGAGAAUCCCGUCUUUGACACGGACUACCAGUGCUUUGUGAUGCGCUCUCGAAGAGUCGAGUUGUUUGGGAAUGCAGCUCAAAAUGGGUGGUAAAUUCCAUCUAAAGCUAAAUAUUGGCGAGAGACCGAUAGCGAACAAGUACCGUGAGGGAAAGAUGAAAAGCACUUUGGAAAGAGAGUUAAACAGUACGUGAAAUUGCUGAAAGGGAAACGCUUGAAGUCAGUCGCGUCUUCCGGAACUCAGCCUUGCUUUUGSUUGGUGUACUUUCUGGUUGACGGGUCAGCAUCAAUUUUGACCGUGGGAAAAAGGCUGGAGGAAUGUGGCACCUCCGGGUGUGUUAUAGACCCUGGUCGUAUACAGCGGUUGGGAUCGAGGAACGCAGCACGCCUUAUGGCCGGGGUUCGUCCACGUUACGUGCUUAGGAUGUUGGCAUAAUGGUCUUAA
This 599-nucleotide ribosomal RNA is filed under the name Phaeoclavulina flaccida. RNAcentral describes it as "eukaryotic LSU rRNA". It matches the Rfam family "Eukaryotic large subunit ribosomal RNA", at positions 62 to 643 of the family's 3401-position model. The record is from RNAcentral. Lineage: Eukaryota; Fungi; Basidiomycota; Agaricomycetes; Gomphales; Gomphaceae.